Vicugna pacos (alpaca) is the source of this 555-nucleotide non-coding RNA. NCBI's taxonomy places the organism in Eukaryota, Metazoa, Chordata, Mammalia, Artiodactyla, Camelidae. The record is from RefSeq and is a predicted model, not a curated record.
AGGAAAUAUGAUUGGAACUCUACUCUAAGUUAAAUCACUGAAGUGUUAUUUAUAUAUUUUUUUCAAUCGAAGCCUUUGUUUUUCUAGGCUUUUGAUUAUAUUUUCAAACUUAAUUAGCAAGUCUACAGUGCAUUUAUGAGAUGAACACGUGCUUCCACAGUGUUUUACUAAUAGUUUCCAUCUUCAUUUGAGUAACACAGACCUUGCUAACAUGUAGUAUACUUUUCUUGCCAUUUGGCAAGUAUAUCUAUUUAGUUUGGUUUGUUUUCCACAAUUAAUGCUGACUGAUAACUGGGUUCUUUUCUCUUCCAGGUUGUGGAGACGAAUUUGGUUGCUUUUGACUGUCACUGGAUCAUUAUAAAUGAGGAAAUAAAUGAUCUGGAUGUACAGGAACUUGUAAGAUGGUCAAUUGGAAGGUUAACGAUUAUUCAACAGACAUUUCCAGUCCCCCAGAAUGUAAGUCAGCGAUGUUUCCGUUGCAACCAUCGGAUAUCUUCAACGUUGUGUGAUCCAGAGGAUCCAUUUUCUCAGAAUAUGGAGGCGCGGCUGCUGCAG